This 292-nucleotide ribosomal RNA is filed under the name uncultured bacterium. RNAcentral describes it as "partial 16S ribosomal RNA". It matches the Rfam family "Bacterial small subunit ribosomal RNA", at positions 505 to 796 of the family's 1533-position model. The record is from RNAcentral.
GUGUCAGCAGCCGCGGUAAUACAGAGGUCCCGAGCGUUGUUCGGAUUCACUGGGCGUAAAGGGUGCGUAGGUGGCAUGGUAAGUUUGAUGUGAAAGCUCAGGGCUUAACCCUGAAAUGGCAUUGAAUACUACUGUGCUGGAGGUUUGGAGGGGGGACUGGAAUUCUUGGUGUAGCAGUGAAAUGCGUAGAUAUCAAGAGGAACACCAGUGGCGAAGGCGAGUCCCUGGACAACACCUGACACUGAGGCACGAAAGCUAGGGGAGCAAACAGGAUUAGAAACCCCUGUAGUCC